UGUGUGGACAGGCAUCCUCAAGAUGAAAGGU
RNAcentral lists this non-coding RNA (31 nucleotides) under Mus musculus (house mouse). Lineage: Eukaryota; Metazoa; Chordata; Mammalia; Rodentia; Muridae. The record is from RNAcentral.